This 3728-nucleotide long non-coding RNA is filed under the name Trifolium pratense (red clover). RNAcentral's name for it is "long non-coding RNA (TPRA_LNC010743)". Lineage: Eukaryota; Viridiplantae; Streptophyta; Magnoliopsida; Fabales; Fabaceae. The record is from RNAcentral.
UAUUAUUUGCAGGAAUUUAUCUCUCUCUCUCUCUCUCAAAAGUUAUAUGGCUUAUUUUAAGAAGUUUAUAUUGAACCUGGCUUUGCUCUUUAUGAUGAUUUUAUCAAUGAAAGUGGCAACAACGGCAAGGGUACCACUAUGGAAAAUUGAGCCUCAUCACAAAACAUGUAAGUAUAUAUUCUUUUUUUUUUCCCUUUUAUAUAGCACUAGUUGAAAUUUCACAUUUUUGUUUAAUUCCUAGGAGUAUCAUUUUUCUCCAUAUCUAUGCAAUUUUUGCAAUAGAUUUUCACUAAUUAUGUCUUGAAAUAUAUUUAAUGUCAUUUUCAUGACAUAGCUAGUAAUUAUGUCUUGAAAUCAAUAAUUUCAUUAUUGAUUUAGUAUUUUUUUUUUUCAUUUGAAAUUUAUGUAUAUGGCUUACUAAUUCAUCACCAUGUUGCUGCUAUAUAUGUUUGUUUGGAAAAUCUCAAAGAUGGAAGCCCAAUUUAUGUUGUUAAUAAUCGUCCUCGUGACCACAACUAUAUUAUUGAUCCUCCUCCUGAAUGUUGUUGAUCAUAUUUUCGAACUUCUUGCAAAGAUGAUCACAACAUUUAUAAUGAUGGCAAAGAAUAAAAAAGAGAGAAGAAGAAGAAGAAAGAUCCAAGCAAAACUUCUGGAAUUGCAUAUGAGUUUGUGUCCAUACAUUAUAGCUAAGGUUCUAUUUUGCAAGGCUAAUUUUCGAACUUAUUAUAGACUUAUAGUAGAAAGCUUAUAACUUAGUGAGUUAAAUGUAACCUAUAUAGAUUGAUUUGGUGGUAAAAGCUUAUAUAGCUAAUAAGUAAUAACCCACGUAGAUUUUAUCCACCACAAUUUUAAUGAUUGAUUUAGUUUCACAGGUAACUCGCAUAGAUUGAUCUGGUGAUAAAAAUUUGGGACUUUAAAAUGUGUUAUUUUUUAAGGUUUCAAAUUCGAAUUCUUUUUAUGUCACUUUAUAUUGGAUCGGUCUAUAAAAAGCGAAAUUCUACUAGCAACAAUGUGAUUAAUGUUUCUAGUAUUAGUCGAUUCUUUUUGAAUCAUAAAAAGAUAUAUUAGUACACAUGUUCAUGCUAUUAAUUCAAUACUUACUAAAUUAAAAUAGCAACCAAUUAACCAAGACAUGUUUCCGGUGCCAUGGUGUGACCAAUUUUUUUCUAAAGUGACACACAUUUUGUAAAAUAGAAUAUUAUAUGCUACCAAUCCACUUUAUCCAAAAAAAAAGUACAACAUGCACGUUGAAAUAUAUUACUCCUGAAACCUAACUCUUUGGAUGUAAUUCAAUUAAACAAAGAAAAAGUUAGGCAACCAUAAGGAAAUGUCCCCAUGCACUAUAAAUAUAAUAACUCCAAUGAUGACAAUUCAACUUGCGUUAUUGAUUAUACACCUACUAGCCUCAAAAUAUAUUAUAUAUAAUGGAGUACCACCUAUACAUACAGAUACAGAUGAAUAUAUAAAUCCACGUUAAUUAGGCUAACAACACACCUUCUAACACACUCUUAAAAUGUAGCAAACAAUAUUUGCCUAUAGGGCCUAACCCAAUAUUAUAAGCACAGUGGAUUUGAUUAACAAAAAAAAAAAAACCACAAUCGAAUAAGUAAAACUUNNNNNAAAAAAAAAAAAAAAACUUAUUAUUUGUUCAACGGAAAUGCUAAAUCUCUUGACACAUACCUUACGAAUUAUUUGCGAAUGAGUUCUCAAACUCAAACAUUUACAUUUCACUUAACUACUCAGCAAAGGGGGCAUUAAUUGACAAGCAAUAGCAAUAUACAUUUAUGGAUUUGGAUCAUCUCCAAUUUUUCCUCAUUUUCUCUCAUUUUUCGUAAUCUAAGGGUUGAUAAAUUACAAAGAAUAAAAAUGAGAGAAAAUCAACUCUUAAUUAAACUAGUUUAAUCAGUCGAGUUACUCAUUCCACCCUAUUAUCAAAAUAAAUAUAGUUAGUCAAACAUAAAUAUUAGUUCAUUUUUCUCAUCACAUGUCCUUCAGAUUCAUAAAUAUUAAUUAAUGAUUACGAUGUAUUACCUAAUCAGUGUCAAAAAUGAUGCAUCGCCGAAGAAAAUUUUCUUAGACAAAUGCAUACUAAAUUGUUAAAAAAGUAUUAAUAAUGCUUAGAAAUAGUGAAUUAUGCUAUUCAUAUCUUUGACUUUAUCAUACCAAAUUUAUUUGUUUUUUUCUUUGUGAGGAUGACAUGUUUUGGUCCUAUUAUUACGAGGAUAGUAUUCGAAAGAUACUCUUUGAGGGGAUUUAUCUAUCUUUCUCAAGACUUAUAUAUUUGCAUCCAAUAUCCUCAUUCACUUUCCACACACAUAUAUAUGUUCUAGCUUCUAUUAUAUUUGUUCUAAGAAAUAUCAAUUAUAUGGCUUAUUUUAAGAAGGUUAUAUUGAACCUGGCUUUGCUGUUUGUGAUUAUGUUGUCAAUGAAAGUGGCAAAAACGGCAAGGGUACCCCUAUGGGAAAUUCAGCCUCAACACAAAACUUGUAAGCAAUAUGACAUAUAUCUUUAGAAGAAAAUAGUUAAAUUUAUGUACAUGUUUUAUCAAAAAGUCUAUCUAUAAUUAAGGACAUAUUUUGAAUUUUAGCAUUUUUUUUAGUGUAAUCAUUCUGAUUUCUAGGGGUCUAGAUAAUUGAAAGUAAAAUUUGAUAAAUUUAGAUCUUUUACUUAGAAUUAAAAUUUUUCGAAACAAUUCAUCUGAAUCAUUCAUUCUUAAUUAGUAAAGUAGAUUUAACUAUUAUUAUUAUUAGGGUUAAAUAUGCAAAAGGUCCCUGCACUUACGAGUCAUUUGAGUUUUAGUCACUGCGUUUUAAAAACAUUUCAUUUUGCCACUGCACUUUCAUUUUACUUUAAAAAUGGUCCCCAGACCUUUUUUUUUGUUGAAAUGACACAUUUUUGCUGAUCUGUUACUGUUGACUGGACUUUAGAGUUGAUGACUCAUUUAAUUUUGCAGUGAAUCGAUCAAAAUACCCUUAAAUAAGCAAUUUUUUAAAAGUAAAAUAAAAUUGACACAUCAUGAAAAAAUGUGCCACUUCAACAAAAAAUGGAUUCAGGGACCAUUUUUAAAGUAAAAUGAAACUGCAGUGACAAAAUAAAAGGAUUUUAAAAUGCAGGGACUAAAACUCAAAUGACCCGUAAGUGCAGGGACCUUUUGCAUAUUUAAGCCUUAUUAUUAUUAUCAAUAUAUUUUUCGUUCAAACAAUAUAUUAUUAUUAUUAUUAUUAUUGUUAUUUUAUUUGAAAAUUAUAUAUGGUUUACUAAUUCAUUCCCUAUCGUUGCUGCCAUGUUUGUUUGGGAAUCUCAAAGAUGGACGGCUACGUUAUACUAUUCAUGAUCAACCACACAAGCACAACUUUAGUCCUCCUCCUCCUCCUUAAUUAUAUAUUUUGAUGAUGAUCCAAAACACUGGAGUAAUCGCGAUGGCAAAAAAACAAGUUCGAAACAAUUAAAAAGGGAAUAAAAGAAAAGGUUCAAACAUUAUGAUCCAUAGAUGACUGUGAUAUAGGUUUGAGUACCUUGUACUUCAUUUACAUACUUAUGUUUGCUUAAACAUAUAUGUGACACCAAGCGAAAAUUGUUGCCUGUCUUACUUUUAGGCAACCAUUUACCCAUGUUGUAUAAAAAUGCAUGUGUUGCCGGAAACAACAAAUGUUGUAGUGAUAUAUAAGUUAUUUUGUUUAAAUAUAUUUUGACCUUUUAUUUUCUCUAAUUUACAAUUUUGUUCUAGG